AAAUAUUAUAUAAAAACGUAAGGAGUAAAGAUUAAUUUCUUCAAAAUUGAAACUGUAUGGCAAUUUUAAAUCCAAUUAGAGAAAUAUGUUUAUUAAACCGAUGAUGCACGAUUAUCUUACUUAAAUUUUAAAUUUCUUACACCACCGUCUGAAGAAUAAUUUUAAUAAAUUAUUCUAUAACCUUGUUGGUUAUAAGUCAGGUCUAGGCACGGACAAUAUUUAAGAUUAAAUGUAUUUUAUAAUAAAAAUUACAGAUUAAAUAUGAAAUUAUUAAUGAAGGAAAAUUUAAAAGUAAUAUAUUUAAUAAUAUAUAUAUGAAUUGGCUCUUUAUUAUGU
RNAcentral lists this ribosomal RNA (336 nucleotides) under Anatoecus sp. DRG-2012. RNAcentral describes it as "partial 12S ribosomal RNA". RNAcentral also lists the same sequence under 1 other name. Lineage: Eukaryota; Metazoa; Arthropoda; Insecta; Psocodea; Philopteridae. The record is from RNAcentral.